This 2174-nucleotide long non-coding RNA is filed under the name Mus musculus (house mouse). Its description in RNAcentral is "RIKEN cDNA 4933435F18 gene". The record is from RNAcentral. Lineage: Eukaryota; Metazoa; Chordata; Mammalia; Rodentia; Muridae.
ACGGUCCCCUUAAACUUCGAACCAAAGCGAACCCUUUCCUUAGGUUGCUGUUGGACAGGAACCUGGCUACAGAGGGAUGACUCUUCUGGAGCAUCCCCUCAGGGUAGGAGUCAGGGAGGAUGCGCCGCCGGCUAAGGCUUCAGUUCUUGGUGGCCUUGGCUUGCGGAUGCUGCCCCAUGCUCUCUGAUCGAUACCCCAUGUUCGCAUGCCCGGUCCUCUUUCCAGGGACACCACAUUGGCUGAGGACCUACACCUGUGAGCUGAUCUUAACUUGAUCAGCCCUGCCCAGAAGGACCCUGUUUAAAGGACUUCUAACAUCUUGCUCAUCUCUACACUGUGCACAAGGAUUUCAGAGCAGAAGAAAACAGGGGUAAGGUACCAUUUCACCCCAUCAGUUCAACAGCACCCAGGCAACAUGGCUUCCACUGUUGACUUUGUCUCCUGAGUAAGGGAGUGUUUGUCAGUUUGUCUUUAACUAACAUUCCUCUCCACCCAUCCACCCACUUUCCCUUCUAUAUAGUUUCUCUUUGAAUGAAGUUACUGGACAUAAUCCAUACAAAGGGCUGGGAUGCUAUGGCCCAUAUCACUGAGAUAGAAAGCGCUACAUGAAUUAUUUAGGAUUCUUCUGUGUGUAAAAUAUAUGUCUUUGCUAUUUUCCCCCAUAUUUAUUUAUAUCAGUGUGGGCUAACACUUUAUUUUGGGGAUGCUAUGAUUGAAUAUUUUUAUAACUUUGGUUUCCAUGUCCUCUUGACAAGUACCCAUUCUUUCCCCCCUUCUCCUUCCUCUCUUCCCUUCUCACCCACACACAUGCAUGCUUGUGCUGAGGGAGAGGGGGUGGUGGGUGGAGAAGGAGAGGGAGGGGGAGAUGGAGAGGGAGAGGGAGGGGGAGAGGGAGAGGAAGAGGGAGGGGGAGGGGGAGAGGGAGAGGGAGGGGGAUAUGGAGAGGGAGAAGAAUCCAGAACAAGGUACAACACCCUAGGACAUACCCCUAGUGUGUCCUUCAUCUAGCUAAGCCCUACCUUCUAAAGCUUCUAGAACCUUCAAAAUAGUGCCACUAAUUAGUGACCAAGAAUCCAAUCCAUGAGCUGUGGGGGACAUUUUAUCUUCAAUCUGUAACAUAUAGGAUGAUAGCACAAGGCCUAAAUGGCCAGUGAAGGAGCCUAGGGAAGAAGCAAAAGAGAUUCUGCACCUAGCCCAGAGCAUCCAGGCAUUGAGGGCUUUACUUUGUUGCUAUAGUGUUAGAUCGUCAAUGCUCUCUAAAGGCCUGUGUGUGGAAGGGUCCAGAAACACCCCAGAACAGUUUCCUGAGGAGAUAUUUAGUAUUGAAGACUAAAGGUUUUUUUUUUUAAUUAAAAAAGAAGAAAGGUGGUUAUGGCUUGUUUUUUAUGUGCACUUUUAUUUAUUUAGUGUGUGUGUGUGAGCAUGGGUACACAUGUGUGCCACAGCAUCUUGGUGCAGGUUCAAGUGCAACUUGUAGGAGCUUGCUGUCUCCAGUCUACCUCCUGGGCCCCUGGGAUUCAGCUCAAGCUGUCAGUCUUGGUGGAAGGUGCCCUCUCCGCUGAGCCAUCUCACUGACCUAAUUAAUCAAUCAAUCAAUCAUUUAUUUAUUUAGACAAAUUUGAUGUUGUUCAAAUAACUUAGAUUAAUUAGAUUAAUUUCUUUUCUUUUCUUUUCUAUUCUUUCUUUCUCUCUUUUUUUCCAUCUUGUUAUUUUGUGUGCACGUCACAGUAUGCACAUGGAGAGCAGAGGACAACUCAAGAGAGCUGGUUCUUUUUGUCCCUACUAUCUGAGUCCCGGGGACUUGAACUCAGGUCAUCAGACUUGGCAGCAGAUGCUUGUAUGCACUGAGCCACCUCGCUGGUCCGUGUGACAAAGAUUUUUAUACCCGAAACCAUACAGUAGGGAGGGAUACACGAUGACGUAAGUGUAUUUUCCUUCCCCAAAAUAGAUGGAUCAGAUGGGAGAUGGAGAGUAGGAGGGGAUGUGUCUGGAGCUUAGAUGCUGGUCCCUGAGAAGAGGCUGAGCCCUCCUGGUGUUUGGGUUAAAUCUUUGGUUGGGUGGGUGUGCAGCUGCGAUCACAGGAGCCUGAAGAAAAAGUCAGAUGCUCUUCGAGAAGGGGAGGGGUGGACUUCUGUCCUACUUUACUUUCUAUUGCUGUGAAAAAGAGCGUGACC